CAGGCUGCAGAGUUUCAGCCAGCCAUGCUGUUGUGAUACUCAGGAGUUUGUUUUGUUGCUCAUAUUAGUUCAAGUAUUUGACAACAUGAUGGAGAGAAUCCACAAGUCAAAUUCAAAUUCAGAAUUUGAUCAGAAUCUAUUCGGAAUCGUCUAAAUAUUCGGCCGUGUCUUCAGAAAUAAACUAUGAAUUCCACGUUCAAACUUACUUUUGGCUUCAGGCAAAAUGAAACUCGGUAAAUACAGCAUGGAUCAGCCUGAUUUUGGUUCCUAUCAUUCAGUUUCACCCCAGGACAACCCUAAAUACAGCUCAGGUUCAAAAAUCCCAAAGUUUUCCUUUCAGGAUAGACAGAAGUUCCAUGUGUUCGGCUAUUGUCGGAAUAGAGAUCAUGUGAAAAGAGGGUGAUGGGAACUCUGAAAUUUUUAAAGGCAGCAGGGUCACUGGUCUAUCUCAAGGGGACAAACAUUUAAAAAAAAAUACAGUUAUUAAAUUGCAAUAAUCUAUAAUAAUGUGCAGUUUUAUUAGUUGAAGAGGUACGUGUUUUUUUUCUUCUUGCAUAAUCAGUCAUAAAUAAGUUUUGCCCAUUUAGAGUGAACUUAUAAUAAAACUGGUCCUGGCAGAGAGUGAAGUAGAAAAGAGAAAGUGGGUCCGGAUCCUGGAAGGCCUGCAGAACAUCCUGACCAAGAACCUACUGAAGAGCCAGCAGGUCCAUGUUCUGCACGAGGCUUACGAUGCCUCACUACCCAUCAUCAAGACCGCGCUGUCUGCUGCAGUGCUUGAUCGGGAGAGGAUCGCUCUGGGAACAGAAGAUGGGCUCUUUGUGGUCGAAGUCACGAGAGACGUGAUUGUGCGAGCUGCCGACAAUUCAUGGUGAAACCCUGGACAUCUUAAUGAAGGGAAUGUGUGUUGGACUUCUCAUUGGACAUGAAGGCGUUCUGGACGAUGCAUUCCCAAUGUGGCUGUGGUGGCAGAGGAGACGAUCGUUCUUGCUGAAAUAAAAGAUGUGGUCACUGGUUUCACUUUGCUGAUGGGGACAAUCUACUGCCUGAAUCUGGAGUAUCCUUCUGAGAUGAAAUACUCAUUUAAAUUCAUGCAAAGGGUCGUCAUGAAAAUAAAACCUGACCACUGUUCAGCCAGGAUACAUGGAGUCAGAAACAAGCUACUAGGGUUUCUUUUGAAAAGGCUUUCUGUGAGGCCAAUCUGAAGGAAAGCUUUUUCUGAUUUGCUCAAUGUUACUUCUUGAGAAAGCAGCAUCACUGUGCUUUUUCUGUUGUUGCAAAAAUUACACUGCCAGUCUGAAGUUAUUGUUAUUCUGCACUGUUCUUUGUCAUUCACAGAACAACUUGCAUGAACAUAGUUGUUAAAAUAGUUUGUUUUUGAACAAAUAAGUACUAAAUUGAUUUAUUGUAAAGUCUAAAUUAGUCAAGAUGAGAAAUAAAGUUGAAAGAUUAAAAAAAUUUUAAAAGAUUAGUCCUUUUAACUUAACAUAGCAAUUAAUAUGAAAUAUAAAGUCAUCUUAACUUUGAAGUGUAAGUUGAAAUAACGGAAUGUAAGUUUACAUAACAAGGUAAUGUGAGUUUUCAUGAAUGGACAAUUCAACACAGUAAGUCGACUUAACUUUGAGACUUUAGUUGAAAAUACAAACUAUCAUUAGUUAAACAGCUUGUAUAACAGUUUGAGUUGAAACAAUCAUUACUUUCAAGUUGAGUUUGCUCACAUUUUUAAGGCAGCAGGUGAACUUUCAUUUCUAACUUUAACUGGCUUAAAAUGUUUUACAGUGUAGGUCACCAUGGUAACAGAUGGUGCACAGCCAGAUCACUGUGAGCUGUAUGUUAGUUGUCCCACUGAAUGAAGCCGUGCAGUUACUGUGUCACACACUGUCUGAGUUGUGUUGCCAUGGGAACCUACAUGCAUUCAGUUGGUGAUGCAGAGAAACCAUCAGUAUGUUUUUAUCAUUGUUCCUGAUUUGCUGCUGAGUCUGUUUCCACUGCUGGUGCUGCAGUUGAUGGAACACAGAUUAGAACAUGGAUUAUUCUGUUGCUAUUUCUCUCAGAGAAUAUUUAGUCAGUAACAUUAAUUCCACUUUUAUUGGGCCCAAGAAAGAACAGAGAUUUCCACGUCUCCUUCAUUAUGGGACAGUAACAGACCUCGAUGCACUUCCUCAAUAUCACGUGUAAAUAAAUGAAGUUUAAAGUUUCAGAGCUCUGAUGUGCAGCUGUGUCAGAAAAAUUCUUUAGUCCAGUCCUGACCUCUCCAAAUUAAAACUGGUCUCUCAAGUCAAAGCAAAGUUUUACUUGGGGCAAGGAAUCAACAUGCACAGAACACAGUUUGAACAAGUGACUGGCGAAGGGUGAAAACAGCACAGCUUUUGUACAGACACAUAAACAUGAGUUACACAUCUUGCUAUGUGUUGUCUGUAGGUGGCUACAGCCAGGCGGUUUCUUACCCUUCAGGUUCCUGUGCAAGCAGCUUGUGUCCUUGUUCCUCUUUUAGCACACAUCACACAGUAUUACAAUGAAUAAGAACAUUCAAUCAUCAAAUACAAUCAUUUUCAUAAGCUGUUGUGGAAGCAAAACCUUUUUGUUCUUUGCAAUAAAUCAGAGAAAUCCAAGCUGCCUUUUGUUCUUUUCUUCAGAGCUCUGAAGGUUCAGGUGACACAGAGUGCAAAGCAGUCUAUGGGAGAGUAAAAGAACAGAGUGAGAGCUGCCUAUAUACUGAACUAGAAAGAAAUGGCUUUAUUGAGGGUAACUGAGCAGUAAAAUACAAUCAGGAACUUACAGCAGUUUUCUACCAGCAUUUCUGUCUUGAAUCACCUGCAGUAGCAUCUUUAUAUUCUCUUUAUUCUCUUUUUCCAUGCCUGUUUUCUGUCUAUGUUCCUUAUUUUUAACAAUUUAAAUUCACUUGUAUCAUUUUUAGGUGAAAUUGAAAAGAGCUAAAAAUCAAGUAUUGAGUUGUAAUCUGUCCUCUGUGUUGGCUGAUGGACAUAUAGGACACUUUGACACUUGUGUAUAGAGUGGUAUCCUAAUUAAGAUGUGUUUGAUGUGACAGGUGAUUGGCAGGAGGAGCAGAGGAACGUUGUCAGACAUUUUGUCUGAGCUCAACAACGGAACAAACAUGGAUUCUUCACAAAAAGUGAGAAACAUAUCACUGUGCUAUCAUCAUCAUUCAUUUAUUAUUUGGAAUGUGUAAAGUUGCUCCAGUUGGAUAGAUGAUCCAACCAAAGCCAGGUAACGUUGUCUGGAGAGAUGUACCUCUGCAGAGGCAGCUGGUGGACAGCUAGGAAGCUGUUUAUUUUUUGUUUAAGGCCAAACUAACUGCUAGGAAAACAUUACGCAAAUGUGUUUCAUGGUGAUGUAGAUAAGUAACGCAGGAAAAGUCUUGUUUUUCAAGCCAGGUGUUCAGGAAGGAAAUGAUCAGUGUUUUCUUUGGUAGAGAAUAAUACUCUUGGGCAUUGUAAGUUCGCAGGCCUUUUUCCUUCUCAAGAAGUUCAGACAGUUGAAAGCAGAAGUUUACUUACACUGUAUAAAAUGACACAUAACUUUGUUUUUUUGGGUUUUUUUUGAACAAUGUCUGACACUAAAUCAAACGACGUUCCUCCUGUUUUAGGUCAUUUAGGAUUGCCAAAAUGAUCUCUAUUUGCCUAAUGCCAGAAUAACGAAAGAGUGUAAUGCGAUCCUUCUAAAAAUCGACCGAUGCGGACUUAUUGGGACGUAUCCGUCGGAAACCAUCCAAAGAAGAGUUGAUUAAAGGCUGCUGUUUCCAAGUCCCAUCAAUUCCCGUCACCCGCUACAUUUAUGCCACGCGAUUCGGGAUCCAUACAUAAUGUACACAUGCACAACACUGUGCUCAGCCCAAGAAACAUGAAAACAGCAAUGGAGUGAGACAUCAGAAAUCUGCGGAAGAAAACAACGGUUCCCCAACAACAACAAACAGAGAUGAAUCACUCAGUUGUGAGCAACGCAGCAAGACUUUUAUCACAGCAACAAAGCUAAGAAUUCACCAGUGAAUUCACACUGUGGACAAACGGUUCAGCUGUGAUCAGUGCAGGAAGACUUUUACUCACAAGAGUCAUUUAACAAAACAUCAACUCCUUCACAGUGGAGUUUGAGCAUUCAUCUGUGACCAGUGUGGGAAAGGCUACAGCUACAUUGCACAGCUCAGAGCUCACCAACGUGUCCACACUAGGAAGAGACCCUACAGAUGUGACGAGUGUAAGAAGACUUUUACAACUCUGGGUUCCCUGAAACAACACCAGCAGAUCCACACCGGAAAGGAAGCAUUCAAUCAGCGUCACAGUAAGGUAUGUAAAGGUUGUCUCAACAACAAUGUACACACUAUUCUGCAUUGGACAUUUUGGAUAUUGUUGUGAAAUUUAGUGGGAUACUGUUUUGAACAACUGUGGCCAGUCCAGGUUAAUCUGGGGAUGUAGGUAAGAUCAGGAAUUCUGACGUGAUCAGCAACAGCACAAACUUGUUCUCACCACAUAAUGUUGAAAAGACAUCAGUGUUCUUUCAUUUCUGGGAUAUGUUAUGAAAAUUCUUCAUUAAAAUAGUGGUUUCCAUUAAAACAAAGCAGAUUUUUAUUAUUUUUUUAAUUGACUUUCAACAUUGCAGUAAUAUUCUUGAGAUAUUUUAUUCUUUUUUCAAUGAUUUCUCAAACUUUUCUAGACAUUGUUGAAACACUUCAUUUUUGUUUUAGAUUUUUUGACUACAUAUCAUUAGUAUGUUUAAC
Amphiprion ocellaris (clown anemonefish) is the source of this 4729-nucleotide long non-coding RNA. RefSeq lists it as uncharacterized. The transcript has 3 exons. The record is from RefSeq and is a predicted model, not a curated record. Lineage: Eukaryota; Metazoa; Chordata; Actinopteri; Pomacentridae.